Molecule: ribosomal RNA, 92 nt
Filed under: Streptococcus suis
Lineage: Bacteria; Bacillati; Bacillota; Bacilli; Lactobacillales; Streptococcaceae
Description: partial 23S ribosomal RNA
Rfam family: Bacterial large subunit ribosomal RNA
Source: RNAcentral
AGCCCUGAGAGAUGAUCAGGUAGAUAGGUUGGAAGUGGAAGUGUGGCGACACAUGUAGCGGACCAAUACUAAUCGCUCGAGGACUUAUCCAA